This 731-nucleotide ribosomal RNA is filed under the name uncultured low G+C Gram-positive bacterium. Its description in RNAcentral is "bacterial SSU rRNA". It matches the Rfam family "Bacterial small subunit ribosomal RNA", at positions 67 to 763 of the family's 1533-position model. Lineage: Bacteria; Bacillati; Bacillota. The record is from RNAcentral.
CGCUUCUUUCCUCCCGAGUGCUUGCACUCAAUUGGAAAGAGGAGUGGCGGACGGGUGAGUAACACGUGGGUAACCUACCCAUCAGAGGGGGAUAACACUUGGAAACAGGUGCUAAUACCGCAUAACAGUUUAUGCCGCAUGGCAUAAGAGUGAAAGGCGCUUUCGGGUGUCGCUGAUGGAUGGACCCGCGGUGCAUUAGCUAGUUGGUGAGGUAACGGCUCACCAAGGCCACGAUGCAUAGCCGACCUGAGAGGGUGAUCGGCCACACUGGGACUGAGACACGGCCCAGACUCCUACGGGAGGCAGCAGUAGGGAAUCUUCGGCAAUGGACGAAAGUCUGACCGAGCAACGCCGCGUGAGUGAAGAAGGUUUUCGGAUCGUAAAACUCUGUUGUUAGAGAAGAACAAGGACGUUAGUAACUGAACGUCCCCUGACGGUAUCUAACCAGAAAGCCACGGCUAACUACGUGCCAGCAGCCGCGGUAAUACGUAGGUGGCAAGCGUUGUCCGGAUUUAUUGGGCGUAAAGCGAGCGCAGGCGGUUCUUAAGUCUGAUGUGAAAGCCCCCGGCUCAACCGGGUGAGGUUCAUUGGAUACUGGGAGACUUGAGUGCAGAUAGCACGGUAGAGUGGAAUUCCAUGUGUACGGUGGGAAUGCGUGAGAUAUAUGGAGGUACACCAGUGGCGAAGGCGGCUCUGCUUGUCUUAACUGACGCUGAGGCUGCGAAAGCGUG